GUGAAAUCUCCAAGUGAGACUGAAGGUUGAAGGAUUUGGACAGUAGUGGAGACUGCAGCCAUCUCUGAUGCAUAAGCUAAAGUCUGCAACAAUUUUAUAUCGACAUUUACAUUUGGAAUAGCAGAAGGACCUGUCUGCCAACAGCGAAAAAGGGUCCAGCACUGCAGCUCUCCUACUUUGAUCAGCUGCCAGCGUGACCAGGUUUGGAAAUGCGGUGUCCAGGGUGUGCACCAUACGGCUGCUGCCCAGCCCUUGGAGAGCAUAAACUCAGCAUGAGCAACAAAUUACAGGGCAAAGUGUAAAAGGAAAAGCCCUUUAUUUGUAAGAAAGAAAAGAAGCGGAGGCCAGAAAGCCGCCCAGCAAGACGGUGCCGCUGGGAUCAGCAGGAAACCCAGAAGCUCUAUGGCUUCCGAGGAUUUUACGACCAGAGAAACCAUUUCCCACGGGAUGAGCAACGAGGUAACUCGAGGGACUAUGCCCUAGUAACUUGCUGCUUAAGUGCUGACGCCCUUCAAACCCCAAGGCCUGUGACCUGGACUCAGACUGCACAUGGUUGUCUUCUCCUGGAAUGUCCCCUUCUCUGCACGAGGAGAACGCAGUCGUGAUGUGAUGGCCAGCAAUGCUUGAGAAUGAUUUUUUUCCUGAGACUGAGACCCUGGGUGGCCGCCCCGAGCAAAGACCUCCCUGUCCCACCCUGAGAUGCAUUUGGCACCAGCAUGAAAUCAAUUGUUGUUUAAAACAGACACUGUGUGUGGACCUUGCAAUGAGGUGGAUUGUGCAGAAGAGGUGGUGCUUCCAGGGGACCAGUUCUAAUCGAGGAGGUGGGAUGCACUCAUUUGAAGUGGCCCCCAUUCUGAGAAGCAGCUGUGCAGCCUCUUCAGUGGUGGAGACCGGAAGUGCCGGGUUGCAGAGGAGCCACUGAUGUGAAAGUAUCAGACCGGAGUUUGUACCGAAAACAGGAGGAGACGGGAGCAGCUGGAGAGAGACAGGGCGGGCAGGUGCUUCAGACUGGCUGCUGCAGUUUCUGUUUCCUCCAGUUAAGGACAAACAGUGUCACCACUGAAGAGCCCACUUAGCUCAGGCUGCUUUGCUUCUCUUAGGAAACUUGCGUAACCCUAAUCAGCACACUGUCCUAGACCCUCAGAUGAGCGUAUCUAAAAUGGGCCUGUCAUUCUGACUUUCUGGAUUUGAUGCCAUGUUUCCUUUAAAAAAAUGAAUGAGCACACUGAUUUUCUAUUUCUUUUCACCAUCUUACCAUGAGCUCAUGGACAAAAUAUAACUAUAAUUCAUAGUUACUAAAAUUUAUUCUUCUGUCUCAUUAAAUCUAUUCAUGACAGUAUGUAUAUGUGUGUUUAUAAAUUCUCAUUUUCCUGCAUUCUGUGUGUUUUGCUAAAUAAGGGGAAAACUAAGUUUUGUAGAUAGUAUUGUAAGCCCCAAACUUAGAGAGCAGUGACUUUGAACUUGUAAGAUAACCAGAAGUCUUUACUGGGCAGGUUUUAGGAACUUCUCUGUGGGAUAGAUAAAAAUCAACUCCUUUAUGAACUUCAUUCCUCUUAUUAGUGGUACAGACUUCCAAUCUGGUUCUGCACACCUACGUCUGUAGUGAGAAGUACAGGCAUUGCUGGUUUGUCUUGUUAGCACUCAAAGAUCUUUGCUGUCAGUUUCUGCAUAAUGUUUACUGCCACAUGUGUGUAACAGCGAUACAGGGAAAGGUGAAGUUUCUGUUCUUCUGACAGUAGUCACAUCUGACCACCAACAUGUCCAGCAGACACCAAAUGGACGUCCUAUAAUUUAUUCCAUUUUGUUGCUGUCUGCCUGGAGAUAACAUCGGAUCCCAUAGGUAAAAUCUCAGGCUUACAAGACUUCCUACUCCCACCACACCACACACCUAGCUGAGAUGCCAAACCCAAGAGGGAGAUUGUCACCUUAUUUCUAACCAAGGCGCUAUAAAUUGGGGAUCCACUAACCCUUUCUUGGGGUUAAUUUGCUCAACAGCUUACAGAACGCAGCCGACCAUGUUUACUUACCAGUGCUCCAUAAAGGCUGUCAUGGAGGACGUGGGAAGAUCAGGGCCAGCAUGGGCUCCAGAGUUGUGCUGAGUGUGACACCCCCGGAACCCCACAUGUUCUGCUGCCCGGAAGUUCUCUAAACUCGGUGAUUUGGGGGUUUUAUUAGUCUGCAUCACUUGGGCGUGAUUGAUUAAAUCAUCAGCCACUGGUGAUCAAUUUAAGCUUCAGCCCUUUACCCUCCCCAAAGAUUGGAGGUGGUGCUGAAAAUUUUAACUCUAAUAGUGCACGGGUUUUAUGGGCAAAAGCCUCCAUCCUGAGGCUGUCCGGGGUUGCAGGCCAUCUCAUUAGCAUGUAAGAGACGUUCUGGUCAUUGUCCAUAAAGAGGUCUAUGCCAGGAAACAGGAGAGAAGAACAAAUAUAUAUGUCUUAUUAAGAACAUCACAGUGUCUCCGUUUGCAGUGUGUGGUGUAUUGCAGACCCAAAAACAAGCAAACAGCAACGAAAAAUAUUCCAGGACAUUUUUCAUAAGGAAAAUAUCCAAGUGUUACUCCCUAACUAAAAUAUGAUACAGAAGAUACAGCAAACAAAUAAAUUCUGGGAAUUUAUCACAAUACUUUGAACCCUAACUAUAAUUUAAGAAAAAACAGGGCAGAUAAUUCUUCUGAGCUCCAAGUAAAUAUCCAGUGUUUCCUCCGUGUGAUCUGCAGUAAGUGCCGGGCAGAGACAGCCAGGUAACUUGGCGUGAGGGUGACUGGCCUCGAUUCCAAGAGAGGUAUUUGCAUGUUUCCUCUCUGGAUUCUACGUGGUAAAUGAAUUGCUUUCAUCUUACAUCUGCAACAUUCUACAGUCUACCUAGCUGUGCUAUGAUAUUAAAAAAAUUUAAAUCCCUCUUGUGAGUAUCCAAUUGUGACCUUUCUUUUUAUGGAAGAUGUAUUCUGUUUCCAGUUUUGCUUGAUCUAAGCAGCUUCUAAUGCAAAGGAGUACACGGUUUAUAAAAUGACACUAAUACACUCUGUGUCGUGUGGUGUCAGAAUAUGAUGUCACAUAAGAAAUCCCAUUUUUGUUGCAAUAAAAUCACCAAAGGAAAAUCUAGAUAAAAUAACUAAUUUAUUUACCUGUAGGUAUUUGUGAAAAACCUCUGUGUGUGUAUCUGUGAUGAUUUAUUCUGAUUUAAACUGUGGUGUACAGAGCCACUUUGUUUUCAGAUCAGGAAGAUGAGUUUUAAAAUUCAUUUUCAUUAUUCUACCGAUAGGUAUGAGGACAAAAUGUACACAUCAUAGUCGUAAUAUGCUAGUGCUAUAUUGAAGUCCAGAGGACUAAGGUUUAGCUUCAUCCUGACCUUGCUUUGCAUGUGCCCUUGAGCAAAUCAGCCUUUCUGAGCUGCUACUUUUUGUCUAUGCCCUGGAGGUAGCAAUGUCUGCUGUACUUUAUUGGCUUGUCAUGAGAGAUAAUAUUCUUGGAAAUGAUCAAAGUUUGUUGAGCACAUGUAUGAACAUACCAGAAUAACUCCAACUGUUCAGUACAAUUAAUUCAUACUAAUAUAAAAUUAAAUAAAUGUCCGUGGAAUCUUGGAAGUACUACAGUCAUCUGAAAUGAAAUUAUUUUCAAAUUCAGCUAAAUUAUUUUUGGCCAAAGGGUAAGCCAGUUAUCAAAUUGCUGUUUAUGUUAAAAUAACCCUUCAUUAAUGAAAACAUUAUGAAUGGACCUUGUCAUAUACCUAGGCAAGGUGAUUCAUCACAGAUUUAAAGACAACAAUGAUGAAUGAUAAUUAUUUGAGGCACAAGUGUAGUUGACCUUGAAGUCACUGGCACUUGCAGUUCGGAUGCUAAACAAUCACCCAAAGCUCAUGUGUUCGAGACAUGGUCCCCAGGCUGGGCUCGUGGGUGGUGGGAGAGGGGCCUACGUGAAUGUCUGCAGGUCAUUGUGGUCAUGCCCUUGAAGGGGGUUAUGGGAGGUCAGCCUCGUUCUUCUCUUGCUCUCUGGUGAUGGGAAGCUGGCUGGUAGCAUGGCAUGAAGGAAUGACACGAACUCCAAUCAUUACCUGUUAUGUGCCAAGCGCUACACUGGUGGUUCCCACACAUUGUGUCUGUUUCUCACCGAAUAUCUCCAAGUGCCUGACUGCCAGGAAGCAGGAACAAGUGUAUCACUGGAGGGGCAGACACAGUGGUUUGCUCAGACUGCAGAGUUGGUACCAAGCAGAGGCAGAAUUUGUACCGGUCCAGGACCAUACUCAUUAUGUCAAGUGUUUGACGGAUGUUGCAGCUUCAUUACAAAAAAAGGCCGGAUCCUAGGACAGACCCUCCAAUAGACCACCACCCAGAGGGUGACGAUGGCUGUCUUUUUCCGCGGUGGCUGUGGUGAGCUGUAGGAAGUAGUAGCUUUCCUUCCGGUCUCAGUAAGAAAACACCCAGUUUCAUCGUUGCUGGGACAAGGUACUCAAAACUUGCCAUGUACACGUGGUGGAACUUAUUUUGAGCGAUGCUGAUGAAGUUUCUGUCCACGUUUGGCAGAGGCUCAAGAGUACGAACUUCAUAGUACCCGGGCAGAGAACAGCUGCUCGUGUCGUGGGCACCGGAAAGCAGAGGAGAGGGAGGCACCCAGCAGGGAGGUGCAUCUUCCAGGUCUCCUACCCAGCAACCUGCCUCGUCUGCCCCCAGCCCCACCUCCUGAUGGCAAAUCAUCUGCAGCGCCCGGGUCCAAUCCUCUGCCUCCUGAGAGCGGUUGUGCCUCUCGGGGACUUCUAGAUAAAAACCAUAACACUUUACUUAAGCUCUGUUUCUUACAAAUUGUCCAAGGUUUGCUGCUCCUGCCUGCAGUUUUAGGUCUAAUGAAGCGAAUCCCGGGUUUUCAAAGGAAAAGAUUCCAUUUCUAUGACAACACUCUUCUAGGUGUCUGUUGAUACUGUUCUUGCAAUCCAUUGCUACUGGCAGUGACAGACGUGAGCUGCACAUAAAAGAUAACUCGUUCUACAUAAGGUGUCCUGGAGGUCACUUCAAUAACACUGUUAGGCAUUACCAAAAUUGGAGAGCUCUUGGGGAUGGCACUGCGAAGAGCUCUCUUCCUCCUCCCCCUCCUUCCUUUCUGUGCGACUGGGAGAAAUGUGACUUGCUUCUGGCAGAUAUUCAGUCUUUAAGCUUCCAGAGCUGUGCAGCUCUUUUAAUAAAUGACGUGUUUCUUGUCCAUGGGCUCUUAGUUCCUUCACUUUAACUGAAGACUGCACCAGAACAGCAGCUGCUCAACUGAGAGAACAAACAGGAAGUUGCUCCGGUCCUCGUCUUCCACUGCUUAUGGACUGAGGACUCUGAACUGUUGUCUCUUGUAAUACACAAGCGCUACCAGCUCCUAGAAGCUCAGGAAAGCCCCCUCCAUGUGCCUGGUGAGCGUAAUACAGAGUUUACCAAGUCACUCUGAGCAAUGCCUCCUGCCCACCCACUCACUGUAGUUUAAAGCUGAUUGGCUGUCCCAGAGCAGCUGCAGUGAGACACGCAAACCUGGAGAAGCCAGUUCAAGUUUAUAGAAAAUAGGAUGUGGUGUGCACAAAACAUUCCCAGACACUUAUGUGUAACAAAACCCUAUAAUAAGCUGAGCAGGGUGGCACAGGUCUGUAAUUCCAGCUUCUGGGAAGGCUGACGCAGGGAGGGUCACAAGUUUGAGGUUAGCCUGGGCAACUUAGUAAAACUGUCUCAAAAAAGGAAAAAAGGAUGAGUGUGUAGCUCAGUACUGGUUUAAUCCCUAGUACUGAGGGAAAAAAGACCUGCACUUGCUCUAAACUGGCAUGUCUUUCCACAGCCUUUGUACCAUAUGUAGAACAGGAAUAAUAUGCAGAGACAGAAUUUCUGUCGUUCUUUAAGAAACUGAUCAUUCAAAUGUAGAACAAGAAAUCAAGAAUGUGUGUAAUUUCAUUUUGCUUUCUUAUCUUUCUCAUCAGAAUUAUAGUCUCUGGAUGCACAUAGGAUUUUUUCAAACUACCAUGUGGGCCAUCAUUCCUGCAAUGUGAUUAUGAGGGUAGCUGUCUAGGUGAGAUGCAGCAUGGAAAUCUUGCAAUUAGUAGUAAUCAACUCAUAUGCAAACAAAGAGUGUCAUGCUGGGAAAAGAAACGAAAAAACCCAAUUUUAAUU
Non-coding RNA from Heterocephalus glaber (naked mole-rat), 6127 nucleotides. The record is from RefSeq and is a predicted model, not a curated record. NCBI's taxonomy places the organism in Eukaryota, Metazoa, Chordata, Mammalia, Rodentia, Bathyergidae.